Molecule: long non-coding RNA, 538 nt
Filed under: Capra hircus (goat)
Lineage: Eukaryota; Metazoa; Chordata; Mammalia; Artiodactyla; Bovidae
Description: lncRNA (ENSCHIG00000004548.1)
Source: RNAcentral
UGAUUUUAGUUCUCAUUAUUGAAGUUUGCGCUUCUGAUUGAGAGAUGUUGCUGUUUUUUCCAGAUCCAUCCUGGCAGAUUAAUACCCAGCAAGAGUCCUGCUGUCAGUGGGCAUUUGAAUGGUGUGUUUAAAGCCGCCUUUGAUGGCAAGGAUGCCAAAUCAUGCGCUCUGCGACAGCUGUUUGGUGCGUCUUUGUGAGCUGCGUGAUUGAGAGCUGCAGAGCUUUGGUAUCCUCUCUGACUGUGUUCGUUUGCCUUCAGGUGGGGUGACCCGUGACCGAGACCGGUGAGAAGGGGGAAGUUCCUGUGGCAGAGAAUUAAAGCCAAGCAGGGAGCUCAAGUAGGAGAACAGCGUACCAGCUCAGGCAAGAGAUGGUCGUGGCUCGGGACGCCGUGGUGGUGAUGAAGAUCUCGGAGGAAGUGAGCGUGGGGUCAGGGAGGAAGUCUGAAGAGGCAGGUGGAAGGCAGUGAGAUGACCCUUUCCCAAAUGGGGUCGAGAGCACGGCACACCCGCACAGGAGCUUCCUGUUCUGAGGGCC